AUCCAGCUAACGAGCCUCAAAUAGGACGAAACGCACGUCCUGGAU
Non-coding RNA from Schistosoma haematobium, 45 nucleotides. The record is from Rfam. Lineage: Eukaryota; Metazoa; Platyhelminthes; Trematoda; Strigeidida; Schistosomatidae.